RNAcentral lists this ribosomal RNA (2615 nucleotides) under museum specimen metagenome. RNAcentral's name for it is "bacterial LSU rRNA". It matches the Rfam family "Bacterial large subunit ribosomal RNA". The record is from RNAcentral.
AAAAUCUUUUUAAGAGUAUUUAAUGAAAGUCUUGGUAAAAUAAGGUAUUAAGGACGUCGCGCGACGAAACAUUAUGAGUAGGCACAGGCCUGUGAUCCAUAAGUUUCCUAAAAGAAAACUUUUAAUUUAAAUUAAUUUAUUACCGCGAAAAUUGAAUCAUCUUAGUAUCGCGAAAAAAAAUCAAACGAGAGUCCGUAAGUAGUGGCGAAUGAAAACGGAGUAGGCUUAUUAAAUUUAUAAAAUAUUUCUAGAAUUUCUUAAAAAGGUAAAAGCCCUGUAUAGAGUAUUAAAAUUUAACAGUUUUUAAGUAAUGCGAUUUAACUUGCAUGAACAAGGGAGAACCACCUUCCAAGCCUAAAACCUUUUUUGACCGAUAGUGAACGAGUACUGUGAAGGAAAGACUAAAAUAACCGUAAGGGUAAAAUUAUAAAUGAAAUUAAAUACUUAAUUUUGAAGUUAAAUAUAAAUGACAAAAUGCCUUUUGCAUAAUGAGUCAGUAAGUUAAUUAAUAUAGCAAGCUUAAUUACGUAUUUUGAAGCAAAAUUUAAAUAGUUAUAUUUAUUAAACCUGAAGCCAAGUGAUCUAACUAUGAACAAGUUGAAAAUUUGGUAACGCAUCUUUGAAGACUGAACUCUUACAUGUAGCAAAAUGUUGAGAAGAUUUGUGGUUAGGGGUGAAAGGCCAAUCAAACUUGGCGAUAGCCGGUUUUUCACGAAACGUAUUUAAGUACGGCAUUGUUAUAGUAAGUUGUAGGUACAGUUACAAGCAAAAACUUAGGGGUUGAUAAGACUUACUAAAUUAGGCUUAACUUUGAAUUUUUACUUAAUUUUAACAAUAGACAGUCUAAAGGCGAUAAGGUCUAUAGACAAAAGGGCAACAACCCUAAUCGUAUUUUAAGGUCCUUAAAUUAUAACUUAGUGUGAAAAGUUUUAAGUAAAUCAAAUAAAUUUAUUAAGAAUAGGCUUAGAAGCAGCCUUUUAUUGUAGAAAGCGUUCUAGCUCAUUAUCUGUUUACUUAAAACUUAAAAUAAUCGGGGCUCCAAGUUUAUAUACCGAAAAAACGAAUUAUGUAUAUUAAAUGGUAGUGAAACGCUCUGUACUUAAAUUUUUAUAAUGAUAAUUAAAAAAUUAUAUUCAGAGGUGCUAAUGCUGACAUGAGUAGCGCAAACUACGUAGAAUCGUAGUCACCUAUUGUUUAAGGUUUUCAACGUAAUUUUAAAUUCGUUGAGUUAGUCGGUCCUUAAAAAAAAAGUAAAUACUUAGAUUGAUAGGAAAUUUUACCAGCUAUAUACACUUAAAAUUUUUAGUGUGUACGGGUUAUUAAUUUUUAUGAGUUACUUAAUAUUGGUUUGUUCUGUAUUUUAUAUUAACCCCAAGAAAAAAUUAUAGUUAUUUAUUUGACCGUACCUAAACCGACACAGGUAAACUUGUUGAACAUACAAAGGUGAAUGGGCUAAUUAAACUUAAGGAACUCGGCAAAUUUACUCUGUAAGUUAGCAAAAAGGAGUACCAAUUUAAAUUUGGUGACAUAUAAUAAAAAGCAACGACUGGUUAUCAAAAUCAUAGGACUCUGCUAAUUAGUAAUUAAUAUGUAUAGAGUCUGACACCUGCCCAGUGCUUGAAAAUAAAUAAUUUAAGUUUAUAGCUUAGAUUUUAAUUACAAGUAAACGGCGGUUCUAACUAUAAGAAUCCUUAGGUAGCGAAAUUCCUUGGCGGGUAAAUUCCGUCCUGCAUGAACGGUGUCACGAUUGCUUUACUGUCUCGAGUUUAACCCCAGCGAAAUUACAUUACCUAUGAAAAUGUAGGUAUCCUGCAGUAAGACGGAAAGACCCUAGAUCCUUUACUUAAAUUUUAUAUUGAAAAAUUUGCUUUUAUUGCGUAGAAUAAAUGGGAGUAAUUAAUUACAACAAUGAAAUACCAUUCGUAAAAAUACAUUUUUCUUGAUUUAUUUUUUAGAGAACAUAUAAAACAGAAAGUUUACUUGGGACGAGUACCUCCUAAAAAGUAACGGAGGUGUACAAAAAAUAAGUUACAGCCUAUUUUAAAGUUAGGUGAAGCGUACAAUAGCAUAAACUUGUUUGAUAAUUAGAUUGAUAAAUCGAAUUAGGACGUAAGUCAGUUAUAGUGACCCGGUGUUCAUUUGUGGAAAUAUCACCGCUCAACAAAUAAAAGGAACUCUAGGGAUAACAGAUUCAUCAUGGCUGAGAGUUCUUAUUGACGCCAUGGUUUGAUACCUCGAUGUCGACUCAUCUUAUCCUGGAAUUGAAGAAGAUUCCAAGGGUCUAGUUGUUCGCUAGUGAAGAAGGUACGUGAGUUGGGUUCAGAACGUCGUGAGACAGUUCGGUCCCUAUCUGCUGUAGGUAAGAAAAGAAAAAGCGUUAUUUUUAGUACGAGAGGACCAAAAUAUUUUAACCUAUGGUUUACUGGUUGUUAUUACCAUUAGCACCGCCAGGUAGCUACGUUAAUUGUGUUUAUGUACUGAAAGCAUCAAUGGUACGAAAGCAUCCUUUCUUCUUUUCAAGAAUAAUCUAGUAGAUUAUUAGAUAGAUCGAUUUGAAAGAUAUUUUAGUAAUGAAAUUGCUUGACAAAUACGAAUUAUUCAACAGGAUUUUAUAA